GUUGCGGUGGCCGAGUGGUUAAGGCGUUGGACUCGAAAUCCCAUGGGAUCUUCCCGCGCAGGUUCGAAUCCUGCCCGCAACG
This is a non-coding RNA of Nematostella vectensis (starlet sea anemone), 82 nucleotides long. Lineage: Eukaryota; Metazoa; Cnidaria; Anthozoa; Actiniaria; Edwardsiidae. The record is from Rfam.